RNAcentral lists this transfer RNA (73 nucleotides) under Trichomalopsis sarcophagae. RNAcentral describes it as "tRNA-OTHER". The record is from RNAcentral. Lineage: Eukaryota; Metazoa; Arthropoda; Insecta; Hymenoptera; Pteromalidae.
GCCUAAGUGCGUCGUUGGCUCAGUCGGUAGACUCUUAAUCUCAGGGUCGUGGGUUCGAGACCCACGUCGGGCG